UCCUACGGAUAAAUCACCUGGACCUUUCUUUGGCCCUGCGGACUGCGGACCCUGGACCUUUCUUUGGCACUGCGGACGUAGGACGUAGGACUGGAAGGAGCGAAGCAAAGAGCGCGAGACUAGAGAGGAGCCCUUAUAUUAUGAAAUUCAAUAACUCGACUCCAAACAAAAGGAGAGGUUCAAAGCUCAUUGAAUAAAGACUUAUUCUUCCAAUGUGAAGGAGUGCAUUAUGUGCAAAUGGUGUUUAUGAGUCCUCCGGACGACUCAAAACAUAAAGGAUCAAAGAAUGAAAGAAGAAUUUGAAAGCGAAAGUAAUUAUCCUUCAAAGGAGUGCAACGAAAGAAAUCCAUAUUAACAUUAGGCCGGUCGACUCAUAGGUUGAAAGAGUGGGUGGUGCUCCGUCUUUAUGAUUCGGCUUUUUAUGCCUCCGCUCAAGACUCACACUCCUUGGCGAACUGGAACGGAGUUGGAAAAGUCAAAAGCCUUUCUUUAUCUGUCCUCCGGACUAUCCAUAUUCAGGAGCGGAAUCAAGAAUAGACCCGUCAGUAUCCGGACCAUAAACUCAAACUAGAACUGAUCCAUGUGAAUUUCUGGGAUAGGCUUGAUUCUUUCAUUGCGUUUUCCCGGCUUUUUUGCUUCUAAAUAGGACUAAAUCAAAGAUUGAUAUUUAACGAAAAUUGUCGAAAAAAGAAGGAAUUUUCAUGAUUUCUUGCUACUUUAUAGGCCCAAAACCUAGCAAAAUCUUGUAUUUCCCUCCGCGGAUUCAUCUUCAAUCUAGCUCUGAAAUCUAGCAGAUUCAUAAUGAUUCUUUCAUUCUCGUUAUUCAAUCAGAAUUCUUCUUUCAUUAUCGUUAAUGAACUGAUUAAGAAGAAUCCACAAAUGUCUAAUCUUGAAGAGCGAAAUCAAUGUCUUCUUUUUCAUGACUGCCAUAUUCUUUUCAGCUCUCCUUAUCAGUCCGGAGGACUAUCCAUUAGAAGCGCCUAGCAUUUUCUGGGAUUGAACUCCCUCGAUCAAAGUAAUAGCUAUGAAUAGUCCAGAGGCUCAAAGAAGAUUUCGACGGAGCAAAGUUGGAUAUUAUUGGAAUAACUCCUAUCGGAGGGCUCAAGACGAGAAAAGAAUUAUCUCAAGAGAAGCUCGACAAGGGCAUGUCUCAUCACCCCAUUAAUAAAGUAGCGUCCACUAAGAAGAGAGGAGGUGCAGUUAUCAAUCUCAUCGCUUACCAACAUGUCUAAGCGGGACCAGGCCCACAAAGAAGAGAGUAGGAAUUCGUUGCUAGUAGGGAAAAUCUGAUCUUUUCUUAAGGGGACUCUACUAAGGAGGACUCUUUCCCGACCCCUAUUGUACUUGUACGAGCAGCUGCCGACCGAGUGAUGCUCCGAUUUCUCUUAUUGCUUGAGGCUAGGGUCUGGGUCUUUGAUCAGUCUGAUUCUGAAAUUCUGAAAUACUGGUAUACCCUCAUAACGAGUCAGAAUACCUAUCCAGAGUCAACUAAGUCAGAAAGGGCACGGUCUUCAGCCGACCCCACAUCAGGUUCAGGGGAAGGGGCUGUAUUGGUAUUCUCUCUUUCCGAGCGAGGAGUUGAGGACCUCAGAUGGAAUAAGAACAGGCCUUGUCAGAAUACCAGUUUCAUAGGCUUUCCAACCAUCGUGGAAAUCUUCGCUUUUGGAAUGAAGAUGGAUCCGGUCGAGGAAUUCGGUUCGGCAGUUGGACAGGAAGUUGCAGUCUUUGUGGUCCUCCCUUGAAUCUCUUGAAUCCGUACGAUUAAACUUGGGCACGCCGAGAAAGAUCGGAAGACCUUCGUUAUAUCUCAUUUAUGAUCAAAUAACUCAAUCAAAGAUUCCAGAUAGAAUCCCAUAAUCCCAUGAAAUAAGGAAAUAGGCCCUGUCUCAGUCCCGCUACGUGGGGGUUGGAUUCCUUCUUUCUUGGAAAGUCUGCUUAUCUUUCUUCUGAAUUCACUCUUUCAUGAUUGAUGAAAGGGGAUCCCAUUUACCGCACGUAAAAGAAAAUAGAGGCAAAUAACCUAGGCUUUCUCUUUCCGACUACAAUAUCCCUGUCUUAUGGCACCGCUCCGUGGUCCUCCGGCGCAAUGAAAUAUGCGACUUUGCGCCUUCGGACGGACGGAAGGAAAGAGCUACCUUUACCGCGUAGUGGGAUCAUUUCUGAAAGACUGCAAAGUCUUUUUCAAUGGAGCUUCAGUCUCUGAUUUAGUAGACGAGAGGUGGUUCACCCGAUAAAGGCACAGGGGACGAUCGGAACCCGUCGGCGAAGAACAAGAGUCAGGCAGUACUAUGAGCGUAAGAAGAAAAUGAGUGAAGGUUGGGAGUGGGUCUCAUGAAGUAGGGUUCAGAGUAUUCAAGAUCCCUUCUUCGGUAUCUUUCCUCAGAUCUACAGACCAAGGCCGUCGGCUAGGCCUUUCACGCGAUUAACUGGGAUAAACUUAGGCAUCUGAUUACAAGAAAAGGAUAAAGACAGAAAGAAGGACUGAUUUUAGCCUCAGAUCUCAUUAUCCAUCCCAUGGAUUCAACCCCGCAAACUGCAGGUCGAAAGGAAAGGGCCUUAUUGUACAUCUUUCACGCUCCAUCCCUCCUCCCGACCUUGUUUUCUUCUCGCGUGAGUCCGCCUUGUUUCACUAUUUCCUUUUGUACGAAGAGCUUUCUAGAAAGAUGUAAUUCAUUCACCUAGCCCUGUGCCUCCAAAGGCGGCCCACUACGCGGUUCAAAUCUCUCUUCCAAAGGCGGAUGAGGCAGCAAGAAGUACUUCAAAGAACAGAUCUUUCUACUUCUCCAGCACCUCACCUCUCCAAAGAAAGCGAUUCACACCUUUCCCACUCGGAUCGGAAUCCACCAUUAGCGCGGUUCGGGGGACGGGGCGGUGGGUACAGGCCAUGAGCAGUCCCAAUAUUCCUUCCUGAGCCUCCGGACCUUAGCCUUAUUCAUUCGGCUUCGUAUGAUCUCUUUCCCGAGUUGACUCGGAAUCAGAAUCGAAUUCCCAGUGGUGCUCAGCGAGCUAUUGAACUAACUAUUCCCAAUGAGAAUAUCUUGAAAGAAAGAAUAUCAGAAAGAUUCCCCGAAACCACAAUAAAUCAAUAUCGUCAAAUCGAGUAAGAAAACAGGACAUUACACCCAGCCUCCAGCUUCUUAUCUGACUUUUCUUUUGAGUCUUCUGCCUCCGAUAUUAAUGUUUGUAAUAGUCUUUGUUCAUUGAUUGCGCGUAGAAGGAGUUGUCUUUCUUUGACAUAGUUUUUGACUAUCAGAAAAUUGAAUGAUUAUAAGAGUCUUUUAAAAAGGCUACGGACAGCUGGACACUCUUUUCAUUCCUUUCUAAUGUUUUGAAUCUAAAUAAUGAAAUUGCCGAUUGUAAUCUUUUUAAUAGUCUAUCUAAAUCCUAAAAUAGGUUGCUUAAAGCUGCAGACUUCGGACCAUCUUGAUUCUUCACUCUAUAAAAUGCGUAGGACGAACUCCUCUUUCGGAGUUUAUUCCUUUAAGUAGUCUCUUCUUUUAAUGCUUCGCCCCUCUCUAUCUCUGCGGACGAGGAUUGCAGAACAAGGCGCGAUAUCAAGAGGAUGAAUUCUAUCCGAAGAGCCGGAGUCAAGCAUGAACAAGGUCCCUCGGGACAGGAGGUUCAAAGAAGAUUUCAUUGUCUUUCCGUCGGCCUGAGUUAGGAGCAAAGAAUAUGGAUCAGACUAUUAAGGAGCGCAAAUCGACUCCUACGCCUAUCUUAAUGAUGACGAAAGACUAUCCAAAACAAAUGUAUGGCAACUCAUAUUGCAUUCAGCCUCCGGACUCCUACGCGGCAACUAACCUACGGCAAGGCGCGGAGCGAAGCGCAUUUAGAAGAGAAAACGAGUCAAGAGGACGGAGCGCAACUCAUAUUGCAUUCAGCCUAGUCCUACGCGGCUGGAUCGAAAGGUUGAGUAAAGCUCAAGCUAGAACGUAGAUAGGCUAUGGAUCGAAGCAGCCAGCGGCCGGGCCGAGUCUCAUGAAGAAGAUUGAGUAUGAGUACGAUAUUCUUUCUUAUGCUAAUUCUGAAAUAAGGGAGAGAUGUCCAAUAAUCUCCGUUGAUCGAGAACGAGAACCAUAUAUGCGCCUCCUAUGAGGCUCCCAGUACGCCGCCUUCCCAGUAUCGUAGGCAGACGAGAGGGCUCCCCGUUUAGGAUGCUACAGAAGUCAAAAGAGGAGAUGACGAGGUAAGCAGUCGCAGUUCAACUUGCCGAAGUUCUUGUCCCCCCAGUAGUGCCUGGUGUUGACGCUGUCGUGGCUUAGUUUAACCCGCUAAGAUCUUCAUGCCUUCGGUACUCCCAUACCGUAAGUGGCUUUAUUUAUCACCAAGUCGAGAUUCAUACUAUACAGAAAAUGGAGAUUCAAGGGAUGAUGGUCCAACUCGCCUCUCUCCAAAGCCCUUUCACCCUAGCUUUUAUCAUUCCUUUUUAGUUAUCUCUCAGAGAUGUUCACUCUUAAAUAGCAGAAAUAGCGGACAAACUGAUCUUGCUGUCUCGCGCAGGAUCUUCCUAUUCUUAGAGUACGGAUUCAAGCGAUCUAGCUACAGAGUAUGAGACUGAUUCCUCUAGCUUCUCCUGUCAAGCAGAAAGAACUCGGGCGAGCUGACUCAUACGAAGAAGAUCAAAGCCUUUCCGCGGAUGACGCCUCUUUACGAGCCGCGCUUCUAUACUUUCUAGUCUUUCAGUUAGAUCGAGCCUGCCGUCCAAGAGGUUCAAAGAAUAUUGACAUAUUUCAUGAAUCAAAAUCAGGCAAUGGAAGGUGCAAAGAAUAUUGCGAAGACCGCUCCAACUAACCUCUGCGGUCAGUCCUUCGGACCUGUCUUAUGGCACCUACGCAGCUUAAUAUGUGAGCGGUAAAAAGGACCUCGGGUCCAGGUGACCGGUCGAGUCAAUGAACAAGGUUCAAAGAAUAUUGAAUGAGACUGGAAAGGCUAGGUUAGAUGAUCCCCAGGACGAGAAUCAAGCUCAAGCAAUAAGUAUUCUCAGUUCCAGGUGUGAGACCUAGAAAACUCGGUCCUAGUUUACUCGGUUGAAUCAGUCAAAGUAUUUCAGAAGUUGAAUGAGAAUCAAGACAAAGCUCGAAAAGUCAAUAUAUCGUUGACGAGUGGGUUGGGGUAUUCAAUAUACUGAGUUGGCUAGGAGAGGGGAAUGAUAGAUUGAGCGAGACCAUUCGCUAGGGAAGACUGAAUUGAAUUCAGCCUUCGUCCGCAAUAAGAAGGCGGAGGCUGGGUCGGCCCACUACGCGGUUGAGUACGAAGGGGAAUUCCCUGCAGAGGUUUCGGAUCUUGGAAUCAGUACGAAGUCUCACCUCUAACUCUUAUCUUGAGAAGGAAAAGGGAGCGGUUAGAAUAGAAUAUAAAGACUGAUAAGGAAGGAGAGAAGACCGGCGGAUCUCUUUCUCUCUUUAGUAAUAGAAUCAAGGAGAAUGAAAAGUCUGAUUUCUCAUUAAUUCUCUUCUCUCUUUCCCGAGUUCUUGAAUGAGAAAGAUCAAGAGUCAUGAGAGUUGUCCGAGCUCCUCUCCCGGAUUGAGUUGCGGACAGGUAACUGAAAUAGAAAUAAGUACUAGCCUCCAGCGCUCACUAGAAAGUAGGGUUCAGAGCGAAGUGACCAUAUCGGUGAGGGCAUUGUCUAAAGUGCUCUUUCAUAUCAUAAGAGUACGAAAAGAAAGGAUCGGGAGAGAGAGAGGUGCCAGGUUCGGUUAAUUACGGAAAGUCCUCCUUCCAUAUGGAUAGUCCUCCGUUUUAGAGUCCUUCCUUCCAUAUGGAUGGUCCUACUUCGGUUAAUUACGGAUGGUCCUACGGAUAAAUCCUGCGGACUCCGGACCCUGGACCUUUGUUUGAUGGAUAAAUACAGGAUCAAGUGCUUUCACCGCUACGCUUCUGCUACUCCGAAAGAAAGGCUCCAGUCCGGAGGACAGGUCCGAAGGCUAGGUUCAUACGGAUAGUCCUCCGGACGGGGGAACCGUAGGCGCAAAGAAUAUUGCGGCUCUUUCCGCUCUCUUUCAUGUUCGGAUAAAUAAAUAGAGGGUAGUUGGUAGUUUACGGCUGUCCGCUACGCUGGAGCUACGGAGAAAGAAAGGAUAAAUAGAAAGUUUCCGCUCCUUCUAGUGGACCUUUAGAGUCCUUCGGACGUCCUCCGGACUAUCCAUAUUAACCUUUGGUCCAGGCGCAGGCGCAAAGAAAGAAGCUCAUUAACGAGAAUGAAAGCAGAAUGAACUCAUUAACGAGAAUGAAAGGCGGUGCUGUAGGCGCUGCAUCCCAAACCUGAAGGCGCACGUUGGCAGGGAAGAUGAGCUACGCAUUGAGAUAGUUUUUCCAAUCGAGCUCAGUACCGUAAAGCCUAGAUUCCCGGAGGGGGCGGACUUAUUGAAAAAGGGGGAAUGAGAGGGAUAUGCUAGUUUUUAUAGGGGGGUAGUGGUCCCUAUAACUGAGCAGUCCCUCAAGCCGAAGACGAUACCUAUAUCCAUACCGCGGAAAACAAGACAUCAGCAGGGGUAGGGUCCAUAGAACAGCCGUCAUGGCUGGAGGUGCCCGACGCCUCUUGGUUUGGAGGGGCUGAGGCCUCUGGGAUCCUCGUCACAAUUUCAAGGACAAUUACAGGAUAACCUGUAGAGAACAGAAAGAAUGAACUUGCGUGCUUCAGAUAGACAGAAGCAAUGACUUCUCCGGCCCCCAUUCGGAGGGGUCUCCGCUGAAGAACAAUGCCAGCGGGGGCCUUUAUGAUGACGGGCUUCUUUCUCUUUCUGAUCUUAUAUUUCGGAGUCGACAUUCUGGCAACUACUUCUGUGAUGUUCCUUCCAUGGAGGAAUUAGAGGUAGCUCUUCGUUCCCUACGGGAGUUUCUGACUGACUGAUUUCUUAUAGUAUAGGGACUCCUGAGGCUGAAGAACCAUUCCAGCGGGGGCCUUUGGGACUAUGAGGCUGAAGAACCAUUCCAGCGGGGGCCCUUAGGACUAUGAUUGAUCUUCGAUUUCGAUUUCUUUAUGAUCGGACGGGGAUAGUAGAUACUGCUAGUGGGACUACCCUCCGGUGCUUUCGGGCAUCGGUCCGGUAGUCAUCCACACGCGCGCAAGGGAGUUCUUUUCCUAUAUCAUACCUUGUUUUCAGUGGGAGGUUCAAAGAAUAUUGACGAGGGGAUUUACUCGCCGUGGAGUGGAUAGGGGCGUGGGGAAAGGAGAGGGAAAGUCUCGAUAAUUAGGUUAGAGGUCGGGGCAUUCAGGCAUCAUUCGGUCAUUGUUCGGAGAGGGGGGGGGACGGUCUAGAGUAAUUGAGUCUUCCACUAAAGGGUAAAGAGCUACAUCCCAAUCCAGAAAGGGGAAAGUCAAGAGUUCCUUGGUUCCAUCCCAAUCCCCAGAGAAAGGGGAAAGAGUUACCUCUGGGAUUCAUGGAUUCAUGGAUGAAGGGGGAAAGGGGAAACCCGGUCCAUCAAAGGGAAAGAGUGGACUCUCUUGAUCCGAUCCAAUGUGCCUGCCUUCUCAUCUCAAUCUCAAGCCGGAAAAGAAAGAACAAGGAAAGGGUCUCUCUUCGGCCGGGCCGCGUGCGGGCCGCCCUUCCACGUCCACUUCUCAUGCCACAGGUACAGGGACGGACGGACCGGAGGGAGAUUCCAGUGACCCAGGUGACCUUCACCGGCUGCUAUACUAAGUUGACUGAGGCUCCGAGGCUCUCACUCCGACUUCCUAAUCAUCCCAUCCUAUUUCAGAAUGAACUCUCCCGACGAACCGCACUCAGAUGGGGCGGCUACUUCUUCUUCCUAAACUGGUGCUACUUCCUAAACAAGGGAAAGAGCCUACUAAACAGUGGCUGGCUGGCGGCUUCCCUCCCUAUGACCCGUGUGGGCGGCCUUCCUUCCUAAACUGCCUUCCUUCCUAAACCCUAAACAGUGGAUAGAGCAUUCCCUCCUAAACAGUAGUCGGAUCGAGAUGGAUGCUCCCGCCGGGAGCCUCUUCCCUCUGACCCGUGGGAUUGACCUGACUUGACUUCCCCUUCUUCCCCUUCUCGUUCUUCCUCUCUUUUCUUUUGGGAGUUUGUCCCGCGUGCACGAGCCCUUUUCUGGGACUUUUUCCAGAGCAUGAUUGGAGGAGCGGAGCUUCUUUCCUUAUUUUCGUUUUCAUCCCUCUAUCUCCUUCAAAGAAAGAUCUUCGUAGAACCUUUUCGAUUCCCUAUUCCGGACUCCUAAAAGACUCAAGAUUCCGAGGAAGAACUAAUCAGGAAGAUAGGAAGAAGAACUCAAAGAGCAGCUCAUGAAAGAGAGAGAGUUGGAUUCAGCCUAUCCCUGGGACAGGGGCGGCUAUCUUGUGCGUGCACUGGAGACCCAAGACCAAGAGGUUGGAAUUUCUUCCUUAUUAGCGGAUUUGAGCUAUCGGGAACUAUACCGCGUAGUGAGGAGGUGACUCGACCCUGUAUGGCUAGCAUUCUCAAGGGGUAGAUCAGCGGGAACCCAACCCCUACUUUCUUGAUCAGGGAGUCUCCAAACCAAAAGGGGAUUCAUUCUGCCUUCCCGAAAUCUUCUUAUUUGACUGCUUGGAUACGAUUUGCCAUCACUCCUGAAACCCAUGAAAAGUGCAGUCUAAUCAAUAUAGAAAGAAUUCUCGCAAUAUUCUUUGCGCCUUCUACGCUCUCCAUGGGCUCGCUUUCUUUGGAUGGACGGAGGAUCAAAGAAAGCCAGAUUGACUGGUCCGAAGGACUAUCCAUCAGGGAGGAGUGGAAGACAGAGCGGGAAGAAUGGAUAUUGUAGACCGCGGGAGGGGGAUGAAAAAGAAAGCUAUGCGAGAGUAGGUAGGGUCGGGAAUGAGCUAUGAGGCAAAUAGCCUCUAACCUACUAACAAGAAAAGCAAGUUCAAAUAAAUGAAAUGGGCCGGACUCAGAAAUCCAUAUUAAUCUGUGGUUUUAGUGGAAUUCAUGAGUUUCGGAGGUUCCGGAGGCCGUCGGACCAAAGAAAAAGAAAGAAUGUCUCAAUAUCCUUUGAGCCUCCGGAGGAGCAAGGAAUAGUAAGGACUUUAUCAAGCUUAACUUCUUUCAACUUCUUUCUUUCUUUGCGCCUUGCUUUCGUUUCAACUGAAAGGCUCCAUUGAUGGGGUACGAGAACAGAAUGAAAGAAAACCGCUCUAGCGGACACUGCAACGGAUAAGGAAAGAGGGACAGCUACCUGAUCUCAUAUUCAACCCUUCUUCAAUCUCAAACUAGGGAAAUCGGCUUAGCUGCCUAUAGGCAUGCUUCUCUCUCCUCGUCAGUCUCAACUUCUUAGUCGUUCACUCUACGGUCUCGUUCUAUCCGCGAUCCUCCUUAUUCUGAAGAGAAAGCUGCAUUCGUAUCUAUUACAAUAGAAUAUAGAAUAAUGUCUUUACUGGAACAAGAACAACCAGGAGGAGUGACUCAUGAAAGAAGACUGAUCAGAAUUCCCGAUCGAACAAGAGAUGACGCAUCUGACAGUCGAGCCUAUCGGAGAAAGGAUGGUGCAUCGCCUAUUUCUCGUUCUCGCUCUCCUAUUCGGCAACUUAUGACUGAAACUUCUGUGAGUCCGCCUCUUUCUUUUCAUUCUGAUUGACGAAAUGGCACAACGGAUCCUGAUACGGGGAAACUUCCUUCUUCCGAUUGAAAGAGAGAGCUUCCUGGGCUGGGCUUUUGACUUCGCCCUCCUGCUGAGACCCUUCAUGCCAGUAUAUAUCUUGCACCUCCGCCCCAAGGAAAGGGGUCUUUGACCACCCGAGGUUGUGGCAUCCGCUCUUUUGUCGAAGUGGCAGCAGAAGUUCAAGGUUUAGCUGCAGCUUUAGUAGAUCGCCUCAUCGCCUAACUCUGCAUUCUUUGACUUUGUGACACCACUCUUUUCUUUCUAAGAGGUGGAAUAGGUUCUUUGAAAGAAUAAAGCUCCAGAUGAGGCGCAAUGAAAUAUGCGAGGUCGCAAGUCAAAUUCUCUAAUGGAUAGGCCUUGCGACGGAGCAGACCGCUUUCAUGAAAUAUUCUUUGAACCCGCGGGAGAAGAUUCAUUAAUAGAAGGGUAGGCUCGUGGCUGGGGAAAAUAGGAUGAAUGAAAUAUGAGAGAGUGAGGGUCAAUAUUGACCUUUGGAGAAGUUGAGGAAUGCAUUCUCAGUUAUAGGGCUCGAACAGAGGGACGAAUCGCCCAUUCCCUAACUUCUUUUCCGUAGGUUGUCCAAGAUUCAAUCAAAGGAGAGAGAGAGUUUACUUAGUGAGGUUGAGGGACACGCGUCUCAAGCCAUAGAUCACCCGUGUGAAGAGGGAGAGUAAUCAGCCUCAGCUUGCGAAUAGGAUGAAUUAGGCGCUGGACGCUGAAGGGCGCUGUUCUUGAAACCUUUCUGUCUUUUUAGCCCACGGUUUUUUUGACUUGACUAUUAUUUACUCUGCGGUUGGGUUGAGAAAUUGAGUAUAUGAGUGAAUAGACUUUGAGUCUGAGAUCGAUCGUAUGUAUCGCGCGUCAUCGUCUCACGCCUGAAUCCGGGGAUGAAUGAAAAUAGAGUUCAAGGUCAAAAUGCCAUAAGGCAAAUUGCUCAAGGGGAACUGAAACUUGAUUAUUCCUCUUCGAGUCUAGGCUUUCUUUUAGGAGCCUCUAAAUAGUAGGAAAGUUCAGUCAGGAGACCUCGGUGUGAGCCACUUUAGAAGUUGGAUAGAAUCUGAAAAAAGAAGGAAGAACCGAAAGCGAAGCGACUGAUCGAUGAACAUCCAUAAAUAAAUAGGCAGAAUUUGAGAAGCGAAGGUUCAGCUUCAUUCAGACGACCUAUCCUCGAUUAGGAGGUUCAAAGAAUUUGAGAAGAAUUUGAGGACUCCCAAAGAGAACUCCCCAAGACCAGCAUUCUUGGAUCUCUCAUAAGGCCCACGUAGCGGGAAAGGCGCCUCAAUCCAAUCACUCUAUGGAGGCAAGCACGCUGCGAGAGCCAAGCCAGUCUCCCCUUUCAUUUCUUGCUCCAGGAAUGCUCGAAAGGGAAGUUGCCGAUCUUCCUCCUCUUUCUUCAGUUCUAGGUCUUGUAGCCCACUCUGCGGUCGUUCUACCAGUGCUGCUUGCCCUUUCAGUUCUUCUUUCUGUGUCGGAUGCCUCAUCUCUUGACCAAGGCCCCUAAUAACGAGAUUGACUGGUCAGUUAGAUACUCCUUUCUAUAAUAGACUUCUUCCACCUUCCCCUUAUUCAUUGAUUCGUUAACGAAGGCAAAAGGCUCGACUAAAGCAGAAUCCGUACCAGGGAAGUCCCAUCCGAUUAGUGGAAUCGGGAUCAGUUCUUCGUGAGAUCGUCGUAGGCCUUCUCUAUUUCUCUUUUCACCCAAGCAGAAUGACCGAGGGUAGCAGCAGCUGAGUGAACACGAGGCCAUUCUACGGAGAGAAUGAGAAUUCCUUCUUUGGUCCUGGAUUCUUCUUUCUCUAUUUCCCGUAAGACCAAAAUGCAAUGAAUAGAAAGGUUAAUAUGGAUAUAAGUUAAGCUUGUAGAUUUCAGACUCCUGAGGACGGGUCUCAUCACCCCAUUAAAAGUCCACUAAUAUUAACUUCCUUUUUCUCUCAACAAUAUCCCGCACCUCGUUUUUGGAAAAUAUGAUUCAUACUUGCACUCAUUCCGAUAAUUCUUUGAGCCCUCCCCCAGUGCAAAGAAUAUUGCGAAGACCGCUCCGAAGGAGUCUUAUGAAACCUGGACCCUUCUUUUUAAAGAAGAAGGACUAUCCAUUAGAAGGGCCUCAGUCCUAUCCAUAUUAACCUAGCAUCUGGACCCCUUAUAAUUGGGCCACGAUCUUUGCGCCUCCUUCGGAGUGAUCCUUUCGCUCAAUAUCCUUUGAGCCUAACGUCUGCAAUCAGUCUUUAAUAGAAUUAUGACUUCGCAAUAUUCUUUGCGGAAGAUUUUCUCUCCGCAAUAUUCCCUAAUGGAUAGUCCUUCGGACCUGUCUCGCAAUAUCCUUUGCGCCUCGCAAUAUGCGCCUCUUUUAUCCAAAAUAUUAGUUCCAUUAACAAGUCAUCUAGCCCUUUGUUUUUGGGGUAGAGUCCUUCGCUCUUUAGUUCCCGCAAUAUUCUCCUUCUACGCGGUUCAAAGAAGAUUUCAGUCCGGAGGCUCCAUAAGACAGGGAUAUUGUAAGGACAUUCUUUCUUUUUGAAAAAGAAGAGAAAAGAACUCCGUAGGAGCGGUCCAAAAUAGAAGUCCUUAUCUCUCUAGUAAUGCUGAAGUUUCUUCCUUUACCGCGGAGUGGGCUUCCUUUAAUUUAAGUAGGUUUCUUUGACCCGACCUCUUCUUUUGAAGCCUUUUGACUACCGGUACCGGCAUUUUACUCUCAGGAGGUUUUGCCAGGGUUUGACUCGAGCUAGAUUCCGAUCCUAAACCUCUCCUUAUUUCAUUCCUCUCCUCAAGCGAGUCGAGCUACUUUCUUUCUAAAAAAGAGCUACUUUAUGCAUUAUUCAUUCGGUCGCUACUUCUGACUCCGGUACUCCGGUCGAGCCACUUCGCCCCGAUACUCUACUCUGACUCUACCCUAUUGAACCGAAGGAGUUGGUUGGAGAUCCGCACCCUCCAUUUCGACUAUCUUACCUAUAGUUCAAACCGCCUCAAUGAACAAGGGGGAAUUUCUUAUGAGAACUGGAAGUCUCGUCAAUAUUCUUUGAACCUUCGUCUCGUCUUGCAUUUCAACCUCUUCUUAUGAGAAGACGGUCACGCUCUUUCGAUCUUCUGGUAGUCUAUAUUGAAUAACCUAUGAGCCGCAUCUUAUCUUAGCAGCUAACCCACGGAGCGGUAUCUCGGGCCUAGCUUAAUAAUAGGAAUCACUCAUAUUGCAUUGAGCCUAAUUAUAAGGGGUCCAGGUGACUAUCCAUUAGAACUUUGAACCUUCGGACCGGUCUAAUUCCGAAAGAUCUAAAUCAGGUCUAUCUCAGUAACCCUUCAGCCUCAGCACAACUAAGCAAGAAGAACAAGCGGGAACAAGGACGGCAACCUCAACAGCGGGCGGAGCCGCAACCCGACCCGGGACAAGAUCUGAGGCUAGAUCUACCUCGUAACCCCUUCCGAUUCCUUCUUCUUUGAGUUGACUGAGAAUACCGCUUUGAAAGCCACGGAUCUAGUAGCGGGACUGAUUCCAUUCCCUUGCAUACGUCUUCCUCUUGUUGGACAGCUACUUUCUUCCUGGGCGCCUACUAAGAUCAGGUUGAAUCAGAGCCCAUAAUAUAAGGAUAGGAGGUAAAGGAAGAAAGAGAAAGCAAUCGCCGACCGCUCCGAAGGAGUCUUACCAGUCCUGAUCCUGAAAUUUGAAUAACCCGCACCUGCCUCAAAUUCUCAAUAUGAAAAUAGUGGACUUGAAUGGGGUGAUGAGACCCUUCCCUUCGGACGGAGUGAAAAGAAAGUGAAAUAUUCUUUCGAUCAUUCUUUGAGCGAGCUAUAGAAGGCGCAAUGCAAUUAUAAGGGAUCCAGAUGAGGAGCAAAGAUCAUUGAUAAGGAAGAUUAGAAGCAAAAGUUCGGUUCUUCAUCCUGCUCAGAUUUUCGGUGAAUCUUUGCUACGUGGGAACUAGAACCGCGGAAGAAAAACAAGGGUCUAUAUGAACUAUCCGUCCGAAGGCGCAAAGAAUAUUGCGGAGUAAAUAGUGGUCCUCCGGACUACAGGUUAAUAUGGAAAGUCCUUGCACUCCUUUCUUCUUUUCUUAGAUAAAUGCGCUUCGUAGAUUAUGCUGAAGGAGGAGGACCCAUCAAAAGUGAAUAUGGUAGAUUUCAGAGUCCCGCAACAAGAGUAAUUUAGUUGGACUUCUUCAUCUCAAAUACUUUGAGCCUUUGUUUUCUAAGUCAAAGAUGGAACUAGAAGAAUAUUGACGAAUGUUCAAAGUCCGGAGGACCUCUUUGAUCCACUAAGUCAAAGGAUGAAAGUCUAAAAAGAAGAAAAGAGAACUACUCCGCGGAGGUCCGGAGGACUCAUUCAUUCCACUCAAACUUAUGGCCUACGUAGUCGUCCUACGUAGCUUAAUAUACUUCCGACUAUCCGAUGAUGAAAGUGGAAUAAAGAAAGCCUAUCCAACAACAAGAAACUUCAGGAUUCAAGGAAGAUAGGCUUGAUGAUAAAUAGUAGAAUAAGAGGAUAUAAGAAGGUUCAAGGCAUAGGAAGAAGAAGAAGAAAGCCCACCUUCCAAUUAGUGGGCUUACUAGUAAUGCUGAAGUUUCCGCGGAGCUUCUUUGCGGAGCCAUAGGCUAAUAGUCCUUUUUUUAGGUUCUGGAUAGGCUUUCGUAUUUAUUUUAGGCUAAGAUGAUCAUUCUUCAUUCUUCGACAUGACUUCGGAAACAGAAAAACAAAAGAAAGGGCCAAAAGUUACUAAAUUUCAGAUUCUCGUAUUACUGAUGAAGAAAUGUCUAUAUUCUCCAUUAUAUACUCUAUUCUGAUAGUUUGAAGCUAGUUCCGAGAUCUUCUUGUUCUCAAGAGGUUUGUACUAACCAUACGUUUACCAGCCUUAAUAAAGUAAAGGCUUCUUGGGGCCUUCGAAAGAUGAGAACUCAAAGAUCGAGAUAGAAAGCUUAAAGAACUACCAUGAUAGCUUGAACUUUCUGUCUUCCUUCUUCUUCGACAAAGCUUUUUGAUACUCUGCCUAUCCCAGAAAUAUGAAGGAUGCCUUGCUUCGCGGGCGCCUAUAUAAGGGCCACUCGGGGCCUCGCUCUAUUGGGCGCUGGGUUUUCGAAUCAAAACCUUCUGAGAGAUAGACAAAGCUUAAACUACCGAUAUUAUGACUCUGACUUCGUUAUAUCGAUGAGAAUGAGUUCCGCUCUUCGAGCCCUCAUCUUCCGCCUUUGUUUUUCUUCUAUCUCGUUCGUAAACUUCUUUAUUUCACGACUCAAUGUAAUUGUAAUUGAUCCGAUCUCCUAGGAGAAAGUUCAGUCAGGUUUAAGAAGAGGAAGGAAUAAUAGUAUUCAUGUUUUCAUAGAAAGGAAUAAAAGGUCAAUGGAAGUCCUCCUCCGGAGCCUACUACGUCCUUACUAAUAAUGCUGAAGGUUCCUCCGGACGGGAAAGUUACCCCUUGUUCAUUGAGGCCCAGUCCGAAUGGAAGAAAAAGUCAAAAGUCUAUCCGCUACUUUCAUCCGUCCGAAGUCCUCCGGACUAUCCAUUAGGUCCAUUGAAUUUAGCGGUCGGACGGGUCACCUGGACCCUUGUUUAUCCACAGGUUAAUAUGGAUAGUCCUCCGGACGGACCAAAAAAUACAUCAAAAUAGAAGUUGCGCUUUCUUCUUAGUAGGUUUAAAGUGCAAGCGGUGUCAAAUCAAAUCAUCAUACUAUUUGACUCUCUUUCACAGAUAUUCUUCUUUACAGGUACAAUCAAUACAUUAUAGGUAAUAGCUUUCUCUCUUUUUCUACUACGGUCGAGCAGCGGAUGCGAGUCAAAUCAAAUGAGAAGGCGAAGAUUAGAGCUCAAUUACGGAUAACCUCUUCCGAGACGGAAACUCUGAUUGCACUUGUUUUCAUUUCUUUGACGGGGGAGCCUCUGUUUUGACUCAUGAAGUGACUCAAGCGGACCUCUCAGAAAACCGUACUUUUGUUUUCGCGCUUUAGGGGCUAGUCCCAUUCUGAUCAUACUCACACGGAUUCUUGCACGGGGCCGAGUGUUGGGGACUUUGUCGUCUACGAGCGGGUAUUCUAUCUAGGUCUCGCUAUUUCAUCCAUUCCUUCUCGUUCGUAACCUAGGAGUGGGUCUCGCUUUUGAUCUCGACUUCGUGAACUACGUCUCCUCAAUUACGCCUAGCCUUCUCGUGAGAACAAUUACAGACUCAUUAAGUGAGAAUGAAAAUCAAAGAAGAAUAGGAAUAGUUUGAAACUGAAUCAAAACCUACUGAAAGAUCGAAUGAGCACUGUGAAAGUAUGACUCUUGCUUCUUUUUGCAGUCUUUCUUCGGAGUGAUAGUACUUUGGUAGAUAGAAAAUGGAAAGUCUAACUUGAAGCUCUUCUUCUUUCCUUUCCUCUGCCAGACGUUUACCAGCCGACUACAAGGCUCUUCCCUACACGAGAUGAAGAACAAGUCAGCAGAAAGAGCUAGAACUACCAGUUCAGAACUGAUGAUUUUUCUCAAUGAAAUAGAUCAUGAAACUGCUCUUUUUGAGUCCUCCUUUGGACUUCUCCUUUCUCGUCUUAUUCCUUGCCGCUCCUCCGCAAUAUUCUUUGCACCUCUCUCGUCUUCUUCCGUCCUUUUGAUAGGCUUUCCUGAAAUGACUGAACUUUCUAUUCAUGUUCCUGCUUUAUCCCCCCUAUCUUUUAUGGCGGUUCCACUUUCUAUUUGGCUUAGGAGAAUCCUUGAUCCGGCUAGCGAGAUGGGAUGAUUGACCUUCUGAUGUCCCCUGUUGCAGGAGUCUAAGCAGGAGAAUGAAGAUCUUGCCGCUUUUGAGACAGGCUCGGGUCAGAGGUCAGAACAAGAGGAAGAGACCGCUCAUACGAGUCUGAGGCAGGCAGCUAAAUCCCACCAGCGGCUGAUUUCUUCAUUUUCUCUCUCUAUCUUGCAGGGACUAGGGAAGAAUCUAAGGCUCUUUAUCAUUUGAUUGAGACUAAAGGGGUCGGCAGAUGAGAUGCCCUUGUUCAUUGAGGCGGUUAUGGAGGAAGUUGCAGUUGGUCUUGCAACUAGAUCGAUCGCUCGGUAAGCACCGCGUAGGAAAGGCCAAGGAAAGACGAAAGGAGCCCUUGGGAAAGGAAAGUUGGAGUCAAACCGCUCUAGGAGAGAAAGUCAGUCGCAGAGGUUGUGCCAUCCUCUUGUUCUUCGCUCUAGUUCUUCUUGUUGAAGCUUUCCUUUCAGACUCUUCGCCUCGUCCGUUGUAUGCUCUUGCAACUGGAUUGAUUUAGUAGACAUUGGCCAGAGUUUUUCUCUGGGGAAGGCAUGGGAAAGAAAAUCAGUGUCUCCUCUGGUUAUAGAACCUUCGAUCAAUCAACAAAAUAAAAGGAAGCAGAUGAGGUCUUGCGUCUUUUCCCAAAGUCAUUAAUCAAAAAAGCAGAUCGAAUCUUUAUACAAAUUGAAUACAAAUUUGAGACUCUUCUUCAUGAUACUCAACCCCCAAAAAGUGAUUCGCCGACUUUAGCUCGCCUAAGCCUGGUUAAUAGAGCAUUGUCGGCGAAUCCGUACUUCUACUCCUUUUUUCAAGAUUGAACUAGGAAAGAAAGAACAAGUCUGUGUUAAGCUUAAGCAGGAGGUGCAAAGAAUAUUUCGUGGAAGAGGAAGGAAAGAAAGAAAGGUAUACAUUACAAGAAGAGAGAAGAGGAAGGAAAGCCUACUUAAACCUACUAUCAAUGAACCGCAAUAUUCUUUGCGCCUCCCAGUCUCCUAAUGGAUAGUCCUACUUCGGUUAAUUACGGAUGGUCCUACGGAUAAAUCCUCCGGACUCCUUCCCUCCAUAUGGAUGGUCCUACGGAUAAAUCCUCCGGACUCCGGAUAAAUCCUGCGGACUGCGGACUCCGGACGUAGGACCUGUCUUUAUCAGGAGCGUAGCGAACAGCCGUCAACUACUUGAUAGUUAUCCUAUCUUUCUCCUACGCGGAAUCCAGAAUAGACCUCUCUUUCUCCGGAAAAGAAACUCAAACAAGAAUCAAACUAUGUGAAUUUCUUAUCCCUUUCCUAGGAGUUCUUCUUUCAUUGCGUUUUCCCGGCUUUUUUGCUUCUAAAUAGGACUUUUUCUCAUAUUUCUAUUUCACGAAAAUAGAUCAAAAAUGACUGAUUUUUCAUGAUUUCUUUCUACUAUUUCUUUUCAGCUCUCCUUAUCAGUCGAGCCCAAAACCUAGCAUUUCCCUCCGCGGAUUCAUCUGAAAUCUAGCAGAUUCAUAAUGAUUCUUUCAUUCGAGUUAUGAAAUCAUAAUGAUUCUUUCAUUAUCGUUAAUGAGCUUCUUUCAUUAUCGUUAAUGAGCUUCUUUCAUUAUCGUUAAUGAGCUUCUUUCAUUAUCGUUAAUGAGUGAAUUCUGCUUUUCUUGACUUUUGUGCCAGUCCGAAGGACUAUCCAUAUUCUAUUCUUUGCGCAUCUGCGUCCUUCUUUUUCGCAACGCAUAUUGAAUUGCGCCUUUUAUCUCUUUCUUCUUAAUAGACCAAAUCGAUGAAAUAGACCAAAUCGAUGAAAAGAAGGAGAAUUUGUCGGAAAUGGCCGGGAUAGCUCAGUUGGUAGAGCAGAGGACUGAAAAUCCUCGUGUCACCAGUUCAAAUCUGGUUUUCUCGGCACAUCAUGAAUUUGUAUGAGUAUCUAUUCUACGGAUUCAUUAAUAAUAUAGAUCAUUCAAGGAUACAUCAUCUUUGACCCUCAAGACUCAACAAUAUCCCCCAACUACGUUGCCUCAGUCGCAGCAAACAAAAAGAAAGCGGAAAUCCCCUAAUGGAUAGUCCUUCGGACCUGUCUUAUGGCGCCUGAUUUUUCUUCUUCGGGCCUUCGUAGCUUAAUAAUGCCCACGGAGCGGGAGGGGUCACUUAUCGGUAUUUCUACUCCAAAUAAAGGAUAGUAUUUCAGGCAGGGAUUCGUCAGAAUCCGCUCAUAGUCGGCCGAAAAUGCAAGCACAUAAAAGAAAGCGGAAAUCUGAGCAAUAUUCUUAGCGCCUUGUCCAAGUCCUCUAAGUUGGAGUAGAACCUUAAGGCCAUUACGCGCUUCCCCCAGGGCCUUUCGUCGGUGGUGAAGGUAGAUGGAAUACGGUUGCCCAUCAAUGGGAACAUUCGCCUUUUUUAGAAAAGUCCGUUCAUACUUCCCAUCCAACCUGCACUCCUGCCCAUCCAGUAGGGUUAGUAGGGUCUAGCUCCCCAACUUCAGAAUCGUAUUGGUUCUGGUUCUUGUCCUCCAUUCACUCAUCGAGGACCCAGAGGUCAAAGUAGUCAUGGGCUCCAGAGUAGUCGUUCCUCCUUUGUCCCUAGGCUUGAUCUUCUUCUUGCCUCAAACCCCCCUUUUUCAACAGACUCAUUAGAAGCGUCUUUUGUGUACUCGGGGGGCCGUAGACAAAGAGCUGUCUGCUUUUUAUGGGCCGCUCGAAGACAAGGUUGGUUGCGAUCCAAUCCAGCAGGAGGUACUUCUCCUGCAAUUCCUCUGCAGUGUACUCGUGGGGCCACCCUCUCUCCUCGAGAAAGGUUACCAUUUUCGAAUAUGGGGACGCCUCCUGCAGCUUCAGGCGCUGUGAAUCUUCCCAAAGGUUGAUCACAGUAUUGUAUUUGGUCAAGAGCAGAUCCGCUAGCUCGCUUUCACGAGGCAGGAAGUUUUCACAAGCAUCUAUCUUUCGUAAAAUCCUCUUUGUACGCUCGCGCUUGUACACCAUGCUAAUAAGGGUCCCCUUCCUGUGGUUUGCCACAGCUUCGGCUUCCAUGAGUAUCUCCUCAGAACUUUGCAUAAGGUUUCUUGUCUUGCUUUAUGACAUAGACACAUAGGCUACCCCAAGCCUUAUUCAAGGACACCUUGCAUUGUCUUCCCUCCCUGGAAGGCUUCCCUUAUUCUAUUUGUUGCCUUGUUCUUUGAUGCAUUCUCGUUCUGAAUGGCAAUAUGAGAAUUUCCUCGUCCUUCUGCCUUUCCUCCGCAAUCACUAUAGAAGUGCAUCGGACAUAAUAUCUAAGCCCUCACCCGACUUUCCAUUUCCUCCUUCUUUAUGUCCUUUCUUUUACUGGGACAGAGUGAUAAGAAUGAACCUUCUUAGUUGACUCGACGAAGGUCCUAAUGCUUUCCCACUAGUGCUAGUAUCGGUCAUACGCUUAAUCUUAAGAUUUCAGAAAAAGAAAUGAAAAUGAUAAGAUAAGCCAAACUCGGAAAUCAGAGUCCUCCUUCUUCUCUUUUCUUUGGUACUGGUGUGCCCCGUAAGGGCACGCUCGGCUCGGUCUCUUUCUGGAGUGGAGAGGGAAUACUUCCAGCAUCUAGCAUCAUCGAGUUUCUCUCUCUUUUACAAUCAAACUAGAUAAGGCCCUCGGCAAGUCCUAGCUCCCCCGAGGAAGUCAACCAAAUUCCAUAUUCUAACCCAGAAAAAUGGGACUCAAUGGGUAGCAAUUGUCCUUAACCCAGGAGUAUUAAGACCGGAGCGGUAUGAUUUGAAUCAGUACGAGAAGAAAGUCAAUGAACAAGGCUCAAAGUCGCAUAUUUCAUUGCGCCGGAGGACCACUUCGGUGUCCAAGCUUGCGGCACCGGUAUGCAGCCCUCUCACUUGCCUUAGUUUCUAGUUCAAAGAGAGUUCUACGCCCUCGCGUGCAGCCUUCUCGUCUUCAGCAUUGAAUAGAAAUAUUAAGGGUGCCUCAUGCGAUAGGCUGGAUUCAAUUUCGUUGCCAAAAGGCCUUGAACGAGGAAUCAUGGGAUAUGUCUGAUUUCGACCAGGAAAUAGAGAAAUCGGCCUUACCAUGAUAUUCAAGACCAUUUUUCUAGAGCUCAACCGGAACUAGAAGACGAAGAAGCCACGGUCCCCCACUGGGAUACUUCUUUGAUGUACCAAAAACCCUUGUUAAGGCCUCGCUCGAUUCGCACUUUCAACCCAACUCCCUCUUUUUUUUAUGAGUCCUAGCAGAGGACAGAUUCUGCGCUUGAUCUUUGCACGUCGACAGCUUAUCCCACCUCAUUUGGAGUUUGGCUCCUGGAUAGCUACUUGGUCUCGGUAAGACGGGAAGGUAUUUGUACGAAACCCUUGUCUGAAACAUAUGCAAACCUCUCUUUAUCUACCUUGCCCACUACGCGGUAAGGGAAAUUCAGAGAAGAAGACAAAGAGAUCUGAGUCACAACUGCUCAAGUAAUAUUGGUUCUCUUUUGCUUUCUCAAAAGGGCUCUCAUCCGUCUAUCCCCUGCGCUCUCUGACUCUGAUUUGGAAUACUCUUUCAAUAGGAUAAAAAGUCAUGAAAUUAGGUUCAAAGAAGAUUUGCGCUCUGGUGCGAAGCCCACCGCUACAGGAGGACCUCUUUCAUCCCUUGAAGUUCCCGAAUUACUUACGAGGUCAAAUCUCUUUUUCUUAGGGGUGGUUUCAGUGGGGGGAGAUCAAAAUCACUGUAUUUUCACGAAUCCGCGAUCCCUAGAUCCGAUCGAUCGAAGCACGGAUUCAAGCUCUCUAUAUAAAUCUAGAAUAUAGACGAUAAGACGAUUCGGUCCUUUUGACUCGUUCAUUCCAUAUUACGGCGAUUCCCCGCAUUACUAGAUUCAAGGCACCAAGGCUCAAAGAAUGAUCGAAGAAUGAACUCAUUAACGAGAAAAGUCAAAGAGAAGGUUUGAAUCUGAUACGAGAAUCACCUUGAUAAAGAGGUUUGAUUCUACGAAAGAUUACUGACUAUAAACAGGAGACCAAUCACAUUUGAGCUACUCUAUCCCGUAGAAAGAUCACUGAAAAGAACCUUGAAAGAGAGAAUCACCUUUUAGGUUUGAAUCUGAUACAAGGAAAGGGAAAGAUUACAGACUAUAAACAGAAUCUAAGGUUUCAUUCUCAAUUUCACUCUAUAACGAUAAAAGAGUCAAUCAAAUGGAAGAGAACUAAGAAGAAUAUAAGGUUUCAUUCUCAAUUUCACUCUAUAACUAGGGAAAGAGAAAAGAUAGGAUAAGAAAGAAAGAAAAUCCUCUGGAUUACCAGCUCCCCCCGUGAUGAUUGGUUCGAUCCUAAGCGAAAGGUUUACCGCUAGGCGAACUAGCAUCAGGCCGUAAGCCUUGGUAAGCUAAGGGGGAGCCUUCUAAAAAAAGAAUUAGAAGAUAGUUACCGAAAAAAGGAAAGUGAAGUAGAUUGAAUGACCUGAAAGACAGCUACCUGGUCUCACUUAACGAAGGGGAGGAAUGAAUGGAGUGAGGAGUAUGCACGGAUUUAUUGACCUACUAGCAGGACUGGCUGGCCCAACGUAAUAGAAUAGAAGUCCUUCUCCCUUCCAACCAGUACACAUUCCCUGACGGGAAUACAUGGUCUAAACCUAGGCUCUCAACCCUCGGCCCUCAACCCAAUACUCACUCUCCCGAUUGACUAAGACACCCCCCCUGGAGAAUAUGGUGUAGGUGGAAUAGGCGGACAUAGAAUACGGGCACAUACUCUGACCCCUCCUUGAAGUAGGAAUUCGACCAAGGCAAGGCUAUCCGGGAUGCUAAACCAUGUGUACUGCAGCCCCCAUCCAAGGACCAAUUUCUUAUUACGUUGGAAUGCAAAAAGAAAGAAGUCUGGGGCGGAUCCCCUUUUGACUUUUCGAGUUCGGUCUUAUUAGUAAGGCAAGCCAAUUCUUUCUAGUCCCUUGCCCAGCUGGCCGAGCUACCAUGCCUUCUCCUUGAGAGAUGGAGAUUGUUCCCACUCUGGUCUAAAAAAAAAAGACUACUAUAGAGUGAGUCUACAGAAAUCUCUUAUAAACUGUACUAGUGAUAUAUUUCAUUCAAGAGAGGAGGAUAGCAAGGCAUCCUUAGGACUCCUACCCGUUGAGAGACCUAUGUGAUCUUCUUGGGUCGCUUCACUCUGUCCUAUUGAGGGAAAAUCCUAUUAUCUUCUCUUUAGUACCAGUCCAGUCCGCUUUAGAAAGUCACCGAUGACUGAAAUCUAUCAAUACUGCACAAAGACUAAGAUUUUUCUUUCAUAAACCAAGAGCCAGAGCAGGUUUCCCAUCCCACUACCCGUGCUGCUACCUUCAACCGGCCAGAUCUACUGAAUCAACAGAGUCGACUAGAUCGAGAUCAUAAUCAGAGAAUUGACUCUGAAUCCCUAUCACGAUCACCAAAUUCAAGAUAAUUUCCAUGGUCCAACUUAGAUAAGAAGGACUAUUUCAUGAUGCCCAUCACCCUUUGGUGGCUGGCCCGUCGGUCCUAAUCUCCUUCCCACAUAUUAAGCUGCGAACAUUCUAAUGGCGCAAAGAGCGGAACCGAAAAUCUCUCAAUUCAUUCAGCCUUCUCCUUAAUAUUAGGAGCAGCAGCAAAAAGAAAGGUCUAGAUUUUCUGACUCAUCUGGACUUGAGAAAACCAAAAUCAUAGUAUGAAUCUUUGAAUAGACCUUCCGCGGUUUAAGACUCCUUUCCUUUAAGUUAGGCUCAAUGAAAUUUGAGUCAAGAUGCGCCAUAAGACAGGCGCAAAGAAUAUUGACGAAAAGAAAAUCAGAAUGAACUCAUUAACGAGAAUGAAAGAAGCUAAAAAUGAAUCUGCUAGAUUUCAGACGGAGUGAAUUCCUAGGUUUUGCCCAUAGGGAAGUAGCAAGAAAAGACAAAAAAUCAGUCAUUUUUAGACAAUUAUCGUCAAAUAUCAAGAUUAACAAAAGUCACAUUUAGAAGCAAAAAAGCCGGGAAAUUGCAAUUCAAGAAGAACUCCUAUCCCAGAAAUUCACAUAGUUUGAUUCUUGUUUGAGUUUAUGGUCCGGAGAAAGAGAGGUAUAUUCUUUAUUUCCCUCCACGAAGGACUAGUCUGAAAUCUAGCUCUUCAAUCUAGCAGAUUCAUAAUGAUUCUUUCAUUCUCGUUAUUCAAUCAGAAUUCUUCUUUCAUUCUCGUUAAUGAGUUCAUUCUUCUUUUCUUGACUUUUGUGCCAGUCCGAAGGACUAUCCAUCAGGGAGAAGCGAAGCGCAUUCAAAUUCUUUUCACCUCCAGAAGAAGGCUCAGAAGGGCCUCCGUAGUCCGCUCCCUUUCGUCCAAUGUCUGUGAUCAAGUAAUACCAGAUUGGUAUUCACGGGUCGAGUUGCCCUCUCUCUUGGUCUGCCCUGUGCUAGCCGAGGCAGGAAGCUAGUCAAGGCAUUUAUCCGCCAGCUUCAAGCGAAAGAAGAAGAUCGAAAUCUAGAAAGAAAGCGGAUUCGCCUUCGUUACUGAAGACCUUGUGAUUGGCUUUUGGACAGAACCGAUGCUCAUCAAUUAGCUAUGUUCGCAACAUCUUCUUUCUCACAGCCUGCUUACUGAGGAAAGCCUGGUUGGUCCUACUAUUUUUUCUAGGGAUCACUAACAAGAGAAAGAAGGCAUCUUGGCUGAAUUUGGGGAGUGAGGCAUGGGAAUACGCUCUUUCAUGCCCUAUCAAAAAAGAUCAAGAAAUUCAUAAACUAUAUUUUUCAAAUAGCUAUUCAAGCCUUUCCUCCUGAAUUUGUCUUUCAGGAUAGGGUCCUUCUUAUCUGCCCAGUACUCGCAACCUAGGACCGCUAGAAAAGCCCAAGGAAGCUAGGUGGCAAGCUUUUCUACGUGAAUCACUAGUAGAAAGAAGAUAGAUCCACACCAUAAAUUGAGUAGGAAGAGUCUUCUGCCACAUCUGAACUUGACUGAAAGCAGGAAGUAGACCAGCCGAGCCGUCUUCAGCCUUUCUGAGUAGGAAGUGAGCUUCAAUAUUCUUUUCACCUCUUGCUUUCUUCUUUGCUUGACUUCUAGACAUUAGCAAGAAAGAAGUUGAUCCUAUCAAUCUCGAUUCAAAAGCAACUACUUCCCUACAUCCAUCCAUCCCGGCUUUCAAGCAUUGAAGGAUUCCUGCCCUCUUGUACCGCUACGUGGGUGACUCAUUAUGUAAACAAGACCUUUUUUUUCUACUUUUUCAGGUGUCGAGCCUCAAAUUCUUUGACCAUCAGACGGCUCUUUCCGUAACUCCUCCCCCGAGAACUGAAUACCCAUUGACUUUGAGCUUUGUCUUUCUUCUGAGUGAGAAUAGUACUUAUUCUUUACAGAGAAUUCUAACUCUUCCGAAAGAGCACCUAUGAAACUUAGCCCGAUUCCUAUUGCUUCUGAGAAUCGUACUGAUCCUACUUCUUCCCUUGGAAACUGGGACUGAUUGAAUACCGCCUCAAUUCCCCAUUACGCGCUUUUGGCCCUAGGCGAGAUGGAAGAAUGAUCUGUCUUUUUAGUCUCUUUGACUAAAGCUCUCCCAAAUAGGACGAAAGGUGGUAACAACCUUGUCUCGACGACGGAACCUUGUCUCGUGGAAGUUGAUGACUGAAAUCGGCAGCUCGACCUGAUUGGGCCUAAACUAAAGAAGGAGAUCUUUCGUAAGCGAGAUCGGCAGAUGCCCACGUAGCGCUUUCAUGGGCCCCCGAGCGGUAGGACGAACUCCUAAUUCUCUCUUGAUCAAGGGAAGAUGAAGAAUGCAGACGACUCGCCCGCUUAUUUCAAUACAAGUAGGACGAGACUACCCCUCCUGUCUCCACUAAAAAGUCCGGCUACUCUCAUGUAGAGUGGAAAGGCAGGGAGCGGGCAUCCGACCUCGUCUAUAUAUAGAUGAUCGGUGAUCAGCUUCACACACCUCUGAAUAAGGAAGGACACCUUUGACAGUAUCGUCCGACCCGGGAAUGAUCCGGUACAUUAAGAAAAUAUAAGGAGUGCUCCCAGAGAGUGAGCCCUUGACUCUCCUUGAUUCCCUUUAUACUGGACGGUGACCUAUCCCACCUCGCAGGGCACUACAGGCUCUAUUUGGCAUUGAGAAGAGUGAAAGAGAUAGAUUAAGCUGAAACUACCGCUACGUGGGACGAGAACUCUUUGAAUAAGUAAUUCUGAGUUAGGAUAUUCCAGAUAUAUAUGCAAAAAUGGAGUGGAGAUCACUGGGACCUCUUCGGAUCCCUACAUACUUCUUCUAGCUUUGGUUUCAGGGACGGAUUCCUUUACUGGGGAGCUAGCCUAUAAAACUGAACCCUCUCCUCUGAUCGAAGAGUUGCGUGGAUGGAUCGCUGUGAUAAGACUGAAAAUCACCGUAAAAAAGAGACUAAAAGGACAUAUGUAAAUUCAGAAAUCCGCCCUUUCAGAUCUCACCAUGGAUGAAACCCUCCUUUGCAAGACACUCAGGAAAGAAAAAAGUCUAAUUCGUCCGAGGCCUAGCCGAAAUCAAAGACAAGAAUCAGUUAAUAUGGAUAAAGAAGAUUGAGUUCCCUCAAAUUCUUUGAGCCUUCGUCUGUAGCUUUAAGCAACCUACGGCAAGGCGCGAAGCGAAGAAGGAAGACAAAGAAAAGACAACUCAAGAGGCGCAAAGAGCGAGGAGCAAAGAAUAUUUUCGUAGCCAAAAGGGCAGAGCUUGGGGAUAACUGACUCGAUCAGCAUUUUUCCGUAUUUUUGAGGGAAAGAUAGGGAAACUUCCACAUCACAUCUUUAUCCCUUGAUCAAUUCCUCCAUCCCAAGCUCUUAAGCUAUAGUACUUUCUGACCUAUUAAGAAUUUGGAAGUCGAUUCAAAGAUUCAAAGCAAAGGUUCGCUCCUGCUGAAAAAGCUUAGUAAGCCGGGCUUCGAAAAAGAGCUCUCGAAUCGGACUAAAAGGAAAAGGUAUCCUAUCCCCUAGGUGGCAGAGCAGCCUAUUCUAUACUCUCUACCAGCUGAUGAAAGAAGAUCCUAGUCUUGAACAUCAUACUCUUUUCUUUGAGAGCAGAGCUCACUUCACUUUGCCCAUCAGAUCCUUGAGCUAGUAGCUAGUUAGGGCUGAUAUUACAAUCAAGGAAUGAGAGAGUUUCAUAGGUGACUAGUGUAGAGAGAGGUUAUGAAAGAGACCGACUACGCGGUUAAGGCUGUGAGAUGGAUAGCCUUGCCCCGAGAGAGGCCAUAGGAUAGAGUCGAACCGACGAUGCUCUUCCAGCUAAGUUGUCUGGCCUGAGUCCGUUCACUGAGCUCUGAGCUUUGCUCCUGGUCGUCAAUAUUCUUUGUGUGCUGUCUACUCUUUUUUGGAAGAAAGUUUCAGCCUACUAAGAAUCAAGAAAGCGCAACUUCGAUUUUGAUGCCAACAACAUGAAACUUAAGGAUGAAAUGAAGAAAUGCAAAAAUAUCCAUCACUCUCCCGCUCUGAAUUUGCAAAGAUGCGGUUUCUGACUCCCCCACGGUGCGGUAGAAAAAUCUUGAAGCCUUGCACUCAUCAACGCAAUAUUCUUUGCGCCUUAUCUUACUUUCAGUCGAGCCGUCCUACGCAGCUUAAUAUGUGAGCGGGAGUGGGAACCUACUAUUUGGAAGAAGCCUAGGGGAUCAAAAUCAAGAGAGAAAGCCUAGAGGCGCGAAGCUACUUACAAGGCUAGGCGUAAUUGAGGAGACUGAGUUUACGAACGAGAUAAGGGUCAAAGAAUUUGAGAGGCGAGAGCAGCUCUUUCUUCUUUCUGUUUAAGCUGGAGACUUUCUUAUGUUCCCACGGAGCGGGUAGGGAAUUGCUCUUAGCCCAGGCCGUCGGCCUUCUUUCUGAAUUGACUGGUCCAUACAUUAAGAUACUCCUUUGCGAAAGGAAAGCUACUCUAACUAAAGAGAAGGAAUGAGACUAGCCGCACUAUAUCACUAUUCAGACGAGAGAAGAGGAGAAGAAAGGGCUAUGCCUUUCUCAUCCAUGAAUUAAUCACCGAAACCCCUUGCACUCCUCUUCCUUAUAAUCGCUAGGUCAAUAUUCUUUGAACCUUGUAAAGGAAGGAAGGAGGGUCAAGGUUAUCAGCGAGAAAGAAAUUCAGGGAGCAUCACGCCGAACUCCGUUUUCUUUCAUCUCUUGGCGCGAACGAGAUCAGAAUCGGCAGCUCGCCCAUAAGUCCAGUCCGCUGACAGGUCAAAAUAAUCGUAAGCCCCCCUGAAUUAGUUCUUUCCGCGGUUGCUCUUGUUUCGGCAGUCGCUGUGGAAAAAGAAGUGGCUGUCGCAGUAGUCGUUCCCGUUGAUCGGGCAGAUCGCUAGAGCGUAAGGCCUCAUUCAAGGAUGAAUUAUGUACUAAAACAUGUCCACGUUUUUGACUCUUCUUCUUUCACCUUCAAACUUGAAUAAAGACUUCAAACUUCCCGGAUGAUUUCCCUGGAAGGAUUUCUUCGAUUCGUCUGUAAAGUGAAAGUAGUGAGGAAACCGCUCAGAGGCACUCGCUCGACCGAAGGAAGACAAGGCAGAAAGUCCCCACCAGCAGCAUUGGAUCUCGAAGGAUCACAGGUAAAGGAUCGACGAGACUCAAAUUCUUUUCCUUGUCAAUAUUCAAAUAGUGGUCCUUUUUCUUUAUCAAGCUUAAUCUGUGGAAUAUUAGUGGAUAAACAAGGGUUCAAAAAAUCAAGGUCCAGAUGACAGGCUCAAUGAAAUUUGAGUUUCUGACUCCUUCUCAAAUUCUUUGAUCCUCAGUCCUAUCCAUAUUAACCCGGGAUUUCUCAAUCUUCUGAUCGCCAUUCUCUUCUUUCUUCUUUGCACCUCUCCUUUGAAUGCGCUUCGCUUCUCAAGAAUAUCCCUUAUGGCACCUGUGAAAAGUCAAGAAAAGAAAAGAAUAAUUCACUCAUUAACGAGAAUGAAAGAAUAAUUAGGAUUGAAUCACCUUGUUUUUACGGAGGGAAAUGCUAGGUUUUGCCCAUAGGGAAGUAGCAAGAAAUCAUGAAAAAUCAGUCAUUUUUCGACAAUUUUCGUUAAAUAGAAAUCUUUGAUUUAGUCCUAUUUAGAAGCAAAAAAGCCGGGAAAUAGCAAGGCAUUGUCCUAUUUGAUUUUCGAAAUUCACAUUGAUCAGUUCUAGUUUGAGUUUAUGGUCCGGAGAAAGAGAGGUCUAUUCUUUAUUUCCCUCCGUAAAAACAAGGCUCAAAGAAUGAUCGGAUUCUUUCAUUCCCAUUUUGAGCUUCUUUAAUUCGAGUUAAUGAGCUUCUUUUCUUUUCGUCAAUAUUAUAUUCAUUGAUUUGGAGAUUGAAGACGGAGUUCAUUCCUAGAAAAUGCUAGGGCGAGACAGGUCCUCCGGACUAUCCAUAUUAACCUGUGACGCCUUCGGACCUGUCUCGCAAUAUCCUUUGCGCCUGGACGUUUUUGGGACUUGUUUAUAUCCAUAUUAGCUUGGAGCCUCCUACGCAGCAAUGAGAAAUUUGACGGAUGAAAGCCUAUGUUGAGGACUCGGAAUGAGUUCCAGAAAGAGGGUCUAAAAGGAGAGGUUCAAAGAAUAUUGACUUGGACAGGAGCUAAGUUCUUCGGACCACAGGCUCAAAGAAUUAUCGAAGGAAUCUGGACCCUUGUUGCGGAAAUUAAGCUGCUCCUCCUCCUCAACGUUCUAAUGGAUAGGACUGAGGCGCAUCAAAAAAAAGGUUGAAGAUGACCUUGAUUUUUUCCUAACUUAUUUCUUAUAAAGAGAAGGCGAGUUAUUUCAUCCCUCUCUUCUCUCCCUGCCCCCUAGAACCGAUCCUAUCUAUCAUUUAAAGCCCUUUUCGACCUUUGCUUUCAUUCGAAUCACAUUCAGGUAUUUGACUCUGAUCCGGAAUCCCCCAAUCAAGAAGGAAGAUGGGACAUGUAAAGGAUAAAGAGUUUCAAGCAAGGCGCCGACGAAUGAAUAAUGAAUAAGGAAGAGCGAUCCGACGAAGCUACUUCUGCAACAAGGAACUACUACAACUGCCACAGCCCCUUACCGCCCGCUACGUGGGCUUAGAGCUAUUUCUUCCUCAACUUCAUUCCCCCAAGCAAUAGGCCUCUUCCGGGUGGCUUUCUUAUCCUAGGAAAGUGAUUUGACUGAUUCUCAUUUGAUUUGAGGGGAAAAUGCAAUCUUUACAAGUGCGUAUGAACUUCCAGUCUCGCAGCUUGGUCGAAAAGCUUGGGCUAGCGGCUGAUUCAACUGCUAAAGCUACAGCUUCAAGAUCGAAUUCCCUGAAAAAUCUCUCUCUCAUCCCUUUCCGCGCACUAAGAAGGUUCGUAAACUCUUUUUUGAAGACUCUCCUUUCUUUUUGCUUCGCACCUUCUAAGUCAGAUCAAUUCCAUCUCACCGCUACGUGGGCCUCUCGUGAAAGAUCCUAUUCUCUGGUCGUAUUCGCACCUUUCUCAGGGGAUCAUACCCUUUUUAGAGAAAGAGAGAAUGUUUCUGUCUGCUGAAACUAGGGUUAGCUGUGUCUAACCUUCCCCUUAAGAAGAGAUAUGAUAAGACCUCGUUCACUCAGCUUCAACACUCAAAAUCCGAACCCUAGAAAAGAAAGCCGCAUCCCCUUUGUGCUGUCCCACUCCUCUCCAGCUUCCUCUUACUAAAUCAAAGUCAAGCCCCUUCGCUCCUAUCCUAUGAUUCUGAGUUCAGUUGCUCUGAUGAAGGAUCGUCUUCCUAUUUCUAAUCCGGAACAGAAAGAGCUUCAACGGCGGCCAAGAAUCAGCUCAUUUUGGACUCUUCAGAUCCCUAUCUAUCCGGAGAGGAGCUUCGCUCAACACCCUUCUUUUGUUUUGCUUCUUAGUGAUAGCUUCUACCCUCGGAGAUGGAGCUCCUUCUUGUUCUCGAUCUGAUUCCUAUCGCUACUUCAUACCUAACUGGCACCUAUGAAACUGGGACGGAUUCCUUUGCUCUCGUUCGCUGACUCUGACUUUGGUCGAGCUAUCACUACUGCUGGCGUCAAUAUUCUUUGAACCUCUUCCUUCGGAAAAGGUCAAUAUUCUUUGAACCUCUCUAUCUCCUUAAAUAUUGAACUUAAGAACCUCAAAAGAAAGCGGAAAUCUUCUCCUCGCAAUAUUCUUUGCGCCUAGCCUUCGAUCUGACGCUUUUGCUAGUCCCUGGUCGAGUCUUUCCUCUUUCUUCAACAUAGGAGUGCAGUCUGAUUUCUGAUUCUUUAGGUAGCAAUUCUUCUUUCUUAUUCUGAAAGGCCCGGAGGUUGAAAAAAGCUCUUUCUUUGUUCUUAUCCUCUUAGAAUAUAUUAUUCAAUUCAAUUGGUCUUACAAGGAGCAGAAGUUUUUGUCAAUUCGUACGUAGAAAUUUCAUGUGUGAAGCUCUAGGUCGAUCCGGAGCUACGAAAGCUUUCUUCUCCCAGUUCUUUCUAGGUCAAGAAAAAUGAAUGGGAGGCGAAGGGGAGAGCUUCCGAGUUCAGUCCCACAGGUAUCGGCUUCCUAUUUUAGUUCUUGUUAUGAAAAGUAGAAAGCCUUCGAUCCUAAGUUAUUGCUUUUUUCGACAUGGUCGAGACCCCGAGAAAGUCUCGAAGCCUAUCAUAGCACCGAUCCAACUCCUCGCAAUAUUCUUUGCGCCUUCCUUAAGUCUGAAUCAAUCAAUAAUCAAUGAAUGAGGCUUUCCCGUAAAGCACUCAGUGCUCAUACGACCAAGAAAAGAUAAGAAAGAGGGAGAGAGGCUCCAUAAGACAGGGAUAUUGUAAGCCGAUCUUGCUGUUUUGACCUGAAUUACGGAGUGAAAUCAGCCGAUCUUGCACAAGACAGAAGAAGAGCUUCUUCCCCGACAAAAACGAGUACCGGGAAGAGGGUCAAAGAAUUUGAGGAAGAGCUUUUUCCUUUGGACUAGAUUGCGAGAACGUUCUAUAACCACUAACCACUGAAAGGUGGCUUCUUCGCAAAUUCUUUGCACCUAGGUUCUCACGCAUAUUUCAUUGCGCCUCAUACUGACUUCCACACUUACCUCUUUCUUUCCCUUCCUCAAACCUAAAACACAAAGUAUACCUUUCUUCUUCGCAAUAUUCUUUGCGCCUGACUUACCUCUUCUUUCCUGACUUACCUGUACUGUAGGGCUUCGCCCCCUUAUACUUCCUGUACUUCCUUAUCUUUUUCUUCCUGACUUACCUGUACUUUAGGGGCCCCUUUAAACUUGUUCUUUCUUUCCUGUUGUUGCUCUUGGGCUUCGCCUUCAUACUUUUGGUUACGGUGGCUUCUUCGCAAAUUCUUUGCACCCUCCGUUAGGAGUAUUAAGACGGACCCUUCCUUCCAUAUGGAUGGUCCUACUUCGGUUAAUUACGGAUGGUCCUACGGAUAAAUCCUCCGGACUACUUCCUUCCAUAUGGAUGGUCCUACGGAUAAAUCACCUGGACCUUUCUUUGGCCCUGCGGACGUAGGACGUAGGACUACUUCGGUUAAUUACGGAUGGUCCUACGGAUAAAUCACCUGGACCUUUCUUUGGCCCUGCGGACUGCGGACUCCGGACCCUGGACCUUUCUUUGGCACGUAGGACAGGUGAAUACUAUUAUUUUCACGGAGGCUCAAAGAAUGAUCGAGGGAUAGCUCUGAUUUUCACGGAGGGAGGCGAGACUGAAUCAAUGAACAAAGGUGAUACUUAUCUCUUUCUUUUGUCUCAAGCUUUUAUACCAUUGACGUGAAGGAUUUGCCUUCAUGAAAACGAAGAAGAAAAGGAGCGGAUCGCGCACGCCCACUCCGCGGUAAAGGCCUAAUGUCAGAGGGAGGCGCAAACUAAGCCGCUGCUCGAGCCACAGGAGAGUAAUACGGGGAUCGACUUCCACCUAGUUGGAGGGAGGAGCCAUAGCUCUUGCUUUUUCAGCAGUCCUUCCUGUGUAGGAUGAAAGAUCCCUUGUUCGGUAAGCGCGUCAUCGACCAGCUUAUAGCGAGCCUAAUCACCCCAUUGUAGGGUAGAAAGAAGGGCGAUUUAUCUCAAUCCAAGUGAAAAGAGAAGCAAGGCCGACGGCCAACGAACUCCUACUAUCUAUUCCACACUACCAGCAAGGUGAAAAGAAGAUUGAAUCCGUCUUCCGCUCCGUUGACCCUAGCGAUCAUGAGAAUUCCCAGGUUUUCAUCCAUUCACAAAAAGACCCAAUCCCAGUCGUGGAAGAGAAGUCAGAAAUGGGACAGAUCUUUUGGCACUCUCCGAGGAGUUAGGCUUAAUUCAAAGGAUGAACCAUAUCUUUCUACGCAAACUAAUAGUUCUAUAUCGGAAACAAGGUCUGAUGACAUGGAAGAUCGUCGCUUUAGCCCGGCUUAGGUCGCAUUCCUAUCUGACUUAGUUGCUCUCAUACCAUAGACUCGGAAAGAGAUAAUGACUCUGGGGUAGAUGAAAUUUCUUCGUGCCGGGUUUAUGUAAGAAAUCGCCUAGUGCUUGAAUUGCACUGACUGUAUUUUCAUCUAUAUUGCAAAUAGAAGAAAGAGCACUUAAUAGGGAAUACGAAGAAAGAACUGAGCCGGGACUGAUUACGAUCGGUCUCAAACCUCUAUCUUGUAUUAUCCCUUUCAGAGACUUCAGUGAGGGAAGACCUCUCACUCCCCCAACCCUGGCUGACGAACCUAUCCAGAUCCAUUGGGAAGAAGAUCCCAUGACGGAGGUGACUUCUAGCUUCGUACCGAAGCCAAUUCCUUACCGCUCCGUGGGUUCAGAUGAAUGAGACGGUCUUCCUAGCGCCGUCCUAUCUUUGAUCAUACAAUGAAAUACCGCGUAGUGGGACCUGCCUUUUUCUUUUCGAAAUAAAUAAGAAGGAGGCUGGAUUCAAUUUCGAAUGCCCUUACUUUACUAUUCAAAACUAUACUCUACGCGCGAGAUGAUGUAAGACAAGAAGAAGAUCAGAAGAGCUUUCAAUUAUUCUAACGAAGAGCUUUUAGAGAAAGGUGCGUAGCAAGGCUCUCAGAAAUUGAGCAGAAGCGAGACCAUUGUCAAGUUUUCAUAGUCUUUUAUCAAAAUCGAAAGAUAUAAGUAGUAAUUCACAAUAUUCAAUAAGUUAUAAAGCUCUGCGAAUGCGCAAAUAAUCAGAUAUUCACUGGUGCAAUGUCUUAUUCCCGCUCCCUGGGAGGUAUACUCUAGAAGUCUUUAUAUAUUGAUUAUGAACCGCUCCGCUCAUAAUCCGAGAUUCACUUCUCAGAAGUAGUUCACAAUAAAUUCUCAAGCUCUUUCCUAAUUAAUCUUCCCGCUCCGCUCAUAAUCCGAUAUUCAGACGAAUCUCAUAAUAGUGGUUGAUCUUUGUUUAUUUGCUUUAUCAAGCUCUUAUUCUUCUCUGCGUCUUUCUGAAACUUUCUUCUGCAGAUAUGAAAAAUCAAGCUCCAGAUGAGUUUCAUUCUAGCUAGAACUCGUUCUCUCCGCGAAUAAUCAUCUAUUCACAAGAAAUAAAUAGUAAUCUCUUCUCUCCUUUGUAAACCUACUAUUUGGAAGAAAGCCUAUCCUUCUACACCGCGUAGUGGGUCGAGCUGCUUCGCACCGCUCCGUGGGCUACUUCUCUCCACUUCUGAAACUGAAAGUCAAUGAACAAGGCUCAAAGAAUGAUCGAGGAGUCUUAAUUGAAUCAUAUUGCUCCAAAAACAAAGGUCCAGAUGAGUCAGAAAGAUUUCCUUAAGUCCUUCGGACGCUUUCCUCUCGUCGAUCGGGCUUUGGUCGUACGUAUGAUAGUAAUUCAUUGAAUGAAUCUAUUUCCCUUGGUUGGGCAGCACUAGAGAUGCAAGGUCAGCACCAACUUCCACUUCUGCAGCAUCAAGGGAGAAAGAAACUGCCCGUGGCUCUCGAAGCUAGGCUUUCAUCCGCCAAAUUUCUCAUUGAUCUGGUGGUCGAAGAGCGAGCUUCAAGGGCAGAGAGAGUAGCUCAAUAAAAGACAAGAAGAAGGAAAAAUAAUGGAUUUCUAGUCCUUCGCCUAAGAAUAAGGUUCAAAGAAUAUUGAACUCAUGAAUAUGGAUCAAAAUCAGUCCCACUAUUUCAAGUGGAAUUAAUGGCGCGACAGGCGCAUAUUGCGAUGAAUCAUCUUUUUUUCUUUCGAGGACUACGAAUUUUGACAGUCCGAAGGUGCAAAGAAUAUUGCGUGAGAUUUUGGAUAGCUCUGACUUUGAAAAGACAAAGAAGGACUUCGGACCAAAAAAUAGGCGAAGCGAAUACUCGUGCAAGUGCUGGAGCGGAAUCCUGUUCAUGGAUUUUGAGUGGAUUCGGAACUAUAAAUGGUCGGCGAAUAUAUAGGAUGAAAGUACAGUGAUGUCCGUCCUUGUUAGCACGUCCGGUCUUCGACACACUAUCGAUUUUCUUGACUUUCUUCCUUUCCUUAGCCUGCUUAGGGCUGCCCCACGUAGCCGUAGCGGUGGGGAUCUAUUACUUUCAAGUCUAGUUGCUCCCUUAUAGAUAAGGGUUGUAAGCAUUCCAGUCUCCCUUGUUCGGAAAGAUGUUCACUCCUCAAAUUCUUUGAGCCUCUUGUUAUACGCGAAGAAAGCUCUUUUCCAGACACUCACUUAACAAGGCAAGGAUGAAUAGUGAUAUGUAGUGAUCCUAAAGCCUGGCUUUGAGCCUUCCUUGCUUUCCAUGAGGGCUGGAAGCGUGGCACCUCACACCUUUGUACACGUAAGAACUACUCAUCUGCACCAUCAAAGAAAGGUCCAGGGUCCGGAGUCCGCAGGAUUUAUCCGGAGUCCGGAGGAUUUAUCCGUAGGACCAUCCGUAAUUAACCGAAGUAGUCCUACGUCCGCAGGAUUCUUAUCCGUAGGACUAUCCAUAUGGAAGUAGGACCAUCCGUAAUUAACCGAAGUAGGACUAUCCAUAUUCAGGAGCGGAAUCAAGAAUAGACCCGUCAGUAUCCGGACCAGAAACCAUAAGAAAACUCUGUUCAUUGAUUUUCCCUAGAUUUUUCUAAUGGACCAGUUGCAAUUUCCCGGCUUUUUUGCUUCUAAAUAGGACUUUUUCGACUUUUCUUAUCUAACGAUAAAAGUACUUUUUUGACUGAUUUUUUGUCUUUUCUUGCUACUUCCCUAUGGGCAAAACCUAGCAUUUCCCUCCGCGGAUUCAUCUGAAAUCUAGCAGAUUCAUCUUCAAUCUAGCACAAAUCAAUGAAUAUUGACAAUGAACAAGGCUCAAAGAAUUUGAGUCUGCUUUCAUUCCCAUUUUGAGCUUCUUUCAUUAUCGUUAAUGAGUUCAUUCUUCUUUUCUUUUCUUUUUUCUUUGAUUGACUUUUCACAGUCCGGAGGACAGGUCCGAAGGCGCAAAGAAUAUUGCGAGGAGUUGACUAUCCAUAUUCAUGAAAAAGGACGGGUGAGGCUCAAAGAAUUUGAGUCUUUAUUCGCCUAUGAAGUAAUUCUUCCACGAAUCAACUCAAUCGAGACGAGGGACAUAGGCUCCCAGUACGAAGGGACUGAAGCGAACCCCACCGGUGCCCGCCCUUGAUCUAUUUUAGAGGCAUAUUCAGUCCUGAAUGAGUAAAUGAGUGAAUCUGGGCACGCACAUCUUGGAACCUUCUCUUUUCAUUAAGAAAGAAAGAAUCCCAGGUUCAAAGAAUCCAGGGCUAAGAGGACUAGGGUGCGAACCCCAUCCACCGAUUCCUUCUUUCAUAAGUCAGAGUCUGAAAGCAUAAGUCGACAUCAAUAUAGGUCCUAAGCUAGCAUAGGACGGACGGGGCGGAGUUGGAAGCUCUCACGGAGGGGCGAAGCGACUGGGAAGGUGGGUUAGCAAGGCUGGAUUCAAUUGAGUGGGUGGAAGCGAGACCUGUCCUCCGACCUCUUUUAUCCACUAAUAUUUGACUCCGGACUUGUUAAUGGAACUAAUAUGUUCGGGAGGACCUCUUUUAUCCGUCCUCUUUAGAGUCCUUCGGACGUCCUCAGUCCUAUUCAACCCAUUCCAUUGAAUUUCUGGAAAUAAGGGUCAAGAUGCGCCAUAAGACAGGUCCGAAGGACUAUCCAUUAGGGGAUUUGAUGACGAACGUUAGGAUCAAUGAAAUGAAUUUGAUGAGAAAGAAUAUUGCGAGAAGUCAUGAUCCCUUUCAUGCAGCUGCUUAAAAAAGAGCUUUUUGCGAAGUCAUGAUCCCAAAGCAAAGGCCUUAAAUAGGGCAAUAUUCUUUGCGCCUUGCACUCCUUUCUUCUUUUCUUAGAUAAAUGCGCUUCGCUUCUUCUCAAAUUCUUUGAGCCUUAGUUAAGCGCAAAGAAUAUUGCGUCAUGAUCCCUUUCAUGCAGCUGCUUAAAAAAGAGCUUUUCAUUUGCGAAAAAGUAUUAUGGAAAUAAUAUCCGGACUGAUUUUUUAUGGAACUGAUUUUCAAAGAUUCCACUAAAACUGAACCGCAAUAUUCUUUGCACCUAGGCUUUCUCCCAACAAAUCUUCGUUCUUAGUUAUUUGAACCUUCAAUCUUUUCAAAAAGCUUAUUGAUUGAUUCAGGGCUUAGCCCUCCUUCUUAGAACCCAUUGAGGGGAGGCCCGGGAAGGGGAGAGUGGCCGAGCGGUCAAAAGCGACAGACUGUAAAUCUGUUGAAGUUUUUCUACGUAGGUUCGAAUCCUGCCUCUCCCACGGAGCUUCUUUGUUGUAGACUGAAGAGAAGAGAAAGGAAAGGAGGCAUUCGUCGUCAGCGUAGGAAGAAGGCCGACCGAGCCAAUAUGUGCUUUCUUUUUUUUUGCCGUGCCGUGAAGUUCAAUUGUAUCGUAUUUCAGUUUAGAGAGGUUGCCGAAUUACUACGAUCUAUAGAUUCCCAUCGAUAGACAAUCCCAACCAGAAUAGAAGCGAGUCGCUUCCGCUUUGGCUUGUAGUCCUUGUCUUUUAGCUUAUGUAGUGGUCGGCCUUCCGACACGCGCGCGCCCGCCAGAAUGCCCCCUUGCUUCUGCACGAAGCCCAAGCCAAUACAUAGGAUAGGCGAAGGAAAGACCCCCCAUUUCAUAGCGCCUGGGGAAGGCAAGUUUUCUCGAGGAUUGGAGGCGCGACAGGCUCAAUUCAGAAAUGGAUAGUCCGGAGGUUCAAAGAAUAUUGACUAGACUUCCAGUCCGGAGGCGCAAUUCAAUAUGCGAAUGAGUGCAAGCGAAAACUAAUAGAUUUCAUAGUCAAGAGGACGGAUACCGCACCUCGCAAUAUUUUCAGUGGAAUAAGACUGAUCUGGAGCCUUUGUUUUUGACUCCUUGCUAUUUAAUGGAUAAACAAGUCCUCCGGACGGGUCCAGCAAAAACAAAGCGGAAAACGCAAGUCAAAUUCUCUAAUGGAUAGGCCUUGCACUCCUUAAUAGAAAGCCGAGCAUUUGCACGCAAUAUUCUUUGCACCUUGUUUUUGUUCUUCGGGCCUUCGUAGCUUAACUUAAUAUGGGGAUCUGAUCUUUGCUCCUAACUACGGGGUCCGACCGCCCCGUGGGAAUAAGAUGAAAGUAGCGGAGUAGUUUGAAAGAAAGGAUAUAAGUUUCAGUGGAAUAAAGGGAGAUAGGCUUGAAUCUUUUUAGUAGGAAAAUCAAGGUCCAGGUGACGGAAGAAAAAGUCAAAAGUCUAUCCCUGUCAUUGAACAGAUUCAUUGAGGACUUUCAUCUUCUAUAUUAUGAGGCUUACUAGUAAUGCUGAAGUUCCUCCUACGGGAAUCAAAAGUGAAAGGAAGGAAUAAGGACUCAAAUUCUUUGAGCCUCCGGAGCCUUCAUCAUUUCAUUUUGAUGCCUUCUACGGCGUUCAAGUCAAAGAGUAUUCAAGAUCAGAGUUUCAGAGCUUUAUCAAAACUUAUCUUUAUCUUGUCUUUGAAGAAAGCAAUAAAAAAAGUUAAGACGAGCUAUAUACUCCGAAGGACGUCGUCUGGACCCAGCCGUAGGCUUCUUAAAAUAGUGAGGAGUCCGGAGUCCGCAGGAUUUAUCCUACGUCCUACGUCCGGAGUCCGCAGGAUUUAUCCGGAGGACUAUCCAUAU
RNAcentral lists this long non-coding RNA (37980 nucleotides) under Cucumis sativus (cucumber). RNAcentral describes it as "long non-coding RNA (CSAT_LNC000005)". The stretch from base 36541 to 36623 matches the Rfam family "tRNA". The record is from RNAcentral. Lineage: Eukaryota; Viridiplantae; Streptophyta; Magnoliopsida; Cucurbitales; Cucurbitaceae.